This 327-nucleotide ribosomal RNA is filed under the name uncultured eukaryote. RNAcentral describes it as "partial 18S ribosomal RNA". It matches the Rfam family "Eukaryotic small subunit ribosomal RNA", at positions 1470 to 1796 of the family's 1831-position model. The record is from RNAcentral.
CCCUUAGAUGUUCUGGGCCGCACGCGCGCUACACUGAUUCAUGCAACAAGUUUUGUCCUUGGCUGAUAGGCCUGGGUAAUCUUUGAACGUGAAUCGUGAUGGGGAUAGAUGAUUGCAAUUAUUCAUCUUCAACGAGGAAUUCCUAGUAAACGCAAGUCAUCAGCUUGCAUUGAUUACGUCCCUGCCCUUUGUACACACCGCCCGUCGCACCUACCGAUUGAAUGGUCCGGUGAAAUCUUCGGAUCUGAGAGAUGUCUGAUUAAUUUCGGACGCCUUUUGGAAAAGUUGCUUAAACCUUACCAUUUAGAGGAAGGUGAAGUCAUAACA